CCUGGCUCAGAACGAACGCUGGCGGCAUGCCUAACACAUGCAAGUCGAACGAACCCUUCGGGGUUAGUGGCGCACGGGUGCGUAACGCGUGGGAACCUGCCUUUAGGUCCGGGAUAACAGUUGGAAACGACUGCUAAUACCGGAUGAUGUCUUCGGACCAAAGAUUUAUCGCCUUUAGAUGGGCCCGCGUUGGAUUAGGUAGUUGGUGGGGUAAAGGCCUACCAAGCCGACGAUCCAUAGCUGGUCUGAGAGGAUGAUCAGCCACACUGGGACUGAGACACGGCCCAGACUCCUACGGGAGGCAGCAGUGGGGAAUAUUGGACAAUGGGCGAAAGCCUGAUCCAGCAAUGCCGCGUGAGUGAUGAAGGCCUUAGGGUUGUAAAGCUCUUUUACUGGGG
Molecule: ribosomal RNA, 398 nt
Filed under: Altererythrobacter sp. R-39115
Lineage: Bacteria; Pseudomonadati; Pseudomonadota; Alphaproteobacteria; Sphingomonadales; Erythrobacteraceae
Description: bacterial SSU rRNA
Rfam family: Bacterial small subunit ribosomal RNA
Source: RNAcentral